Molecule: transfer RNA, 88 nt
Filed under: Limnobacter sp. SAORIC-690
Lineage: Bacteria; Pseudomonadati; Pseudomonadota; Betaproteobacteria; Burkholderiales; Burkholderiaceae
Description: tRNA-Ser
Rfam family: tRNA
About the family: Transfer RNA (tRNA) molecules are approximately 80 nucleotides in length. Their secondary structure includes four short double-helical elements and three loops (D, anti-codon, and T loops). Further hydrogen bonds mediate the characteristic L-shaped molecular structure. tRNAs have two regions of fundamental functional importance: the anti-codon, which is responsible for specific mRNA codon recognition, and the 3' end, to which the tRNAs corresponding amino acid is attached (by aminoacyl-tRNA synthetases). tRNAs cope with the degeneracy of the genetic code in two manners: having more than one tRNA (with a specific anti-codon) for a particular amino acid; and 'wobble' base-pairing, i.e. permitting non-standard base-pairing at the 3rd anti-codon position.
Source: RNAcentral
GGAAGCUUGGCAGAGCGGUUGAAUGCACCGGUCUUGAAAACCGGCGAGGGUGCGAGCUCCGUGAGUUCGAAUCUCACAGCUUCCGCCA